RNAcentral lists this ribosomal RNA (584 nucleotides) under uncultured bacterium. Its description in RNAcentral is "partial 16S ribosomal RNA". It matches the Rfam family "Bacterial small subunit ribosomal RNA", at positions 355 to 1375 of the family's 1533-position model. The record is from RNAcentral.
UGGGGAAUUUUGGACAAUGGGCGAAAGCCUGAUCCAGCAAUGCCGCGUGUGUGAAGAAGGCCUUCGGGUUGUAAAGCACUUUUGUCCGGAAAGAAAUCCUUGGCUCUAAUACAGCCGGGGGAUGACGGUACCGGAAGAAUAAGCACCGGCUAACUACGUGCCAGCAGCCGCGGUAAUACGUAGGGUGCAAGCGUUAAUCGGAAUUACUGGGCGUAAAGCGUGCGCAGGCGGUUUGCUAAGACCGAUGUGAAAUCCCCGGGCUCAACCUGGGAACUGCAUUGGUGACUGGCAGGCUAGAGUAUGGCAGAGGGGGUAGAAUUCCACGUGUAGCAGUGAAAUGCGUAGAGAUGUGGAGGAAUACCGAUGGCGAAGGCAGCCCCCUGGGCCAAUACUGACGCUCAUGCACGAAAGCGUGGGGAGCAAACAGGAUUAGAUACCCUGGUAGUCCACGCCCUAAACGAUGUCAACUAGUUGUUGGGGAUUCAUUUCCUUAGUAACGUAGCUAACGCGUGAAGUUGACCGCCUGGGGAGUACGGUCGCAAGAUUAAAACUCAAAUGAAUUGACGGGGUCAUAGCUGUUUCCU